UACGAAGGGUGCAAGCGUUAAUCGGAAUUACUGGGCGUAAAGGGUGCGUAGGCGGUUAGUUAAGUCUGUCGUGAAAUCCCCGGGCUCAACCUGGGAAUGGCGAUGGAUACUGGCUAGCUAGAGUGUGUCAGAGGAUGGUGGAAUUCCCGGUGUAGCGGUGAAAUGCGUAGAGAUCGGGAGGAACAUCAGUGGCGAAGGCGGCCAUCUGGGACAACACUGACGCUGAAGCACGAAAGCGUGGGGAGCGAACAGG
RNAcentral lists this ribosomal RNA (253 nucleotides) under uncultured bacterium. RNAcentral describes it as "partial 16S ribosomal RNA". It matches the Rfam family "Bacterial small subunit ribosomal RNA", at positions 524 to 776 of the family's 1533-position model. The record is from RNAcentral.